This is a non-coding RNA of Tetranychus urticae (two-spotted spider mite), 1980 nucleotides long. The record is from RefSeq and is a predicted model, not a curated record. NCBI's taxonomy places the organism in Eukaryota, Metazoa, Arthropoda, Arachnida, Trombidiformes, Tetranychidae.
CUCUUCAUCUUCAAGUUUGCCUGAAGUGUUUUCCGUUUCAAAAAAGUAGAAAGAAAUGUUAAUUUAUCUGACCGCAAACAUUUGAGCUUCAUUUUGCAUAACUAACAAUGAAAGUCUAUGGGUAAUCAGCAUUCCUCACUUUUUUGAAACGAAAUAACAAAUUAAAGGUUUAAAAAAUUUGAUUACUUACUUUUUUGUGUAUGCACAGAUGCUAUAAGGUAAGGAACCAGAAAAGAGAAGAGAAGAGAUCUUCUUUCUUCUUAAAGAGAAACAAAAACGUCUCAGUGGACUUGAGGCUUUUAAGGCACAUAUUGUUGCCUCAAGAACUAUCUCAACCAUCAUUCAAACCUCCCUUGGACCCAAAGGUUUGGAUAAAAUGAUGGUCUCUUCUGAUGGAGAUGUAACCAUAACUAAUGAUGGGGCAACUAUACUUAAGAUGAUGGAUGUUGAAAACGAAAUCGCUAAUCGCGAAUUUCAAUUACCAUUUUUGCUUGGUAAAAUUGUUCAGACACUGUGCUAGAUUAAUUUAAUCGAUCAACAAACCGUUGUAUGGAUUUAUGUUAAUAUACCAAUACUCUGAAGUUUGACCAACACUCAUAAAUUUUAUUUUAUUUUUCCAGUUCUUGCUGGAGCUCUCUUAGCUCAAGCUGAAUUACUACUCGAUAAAGGGCUUCACCCCAUUCGUAUUACUGAGGGUUUUGAGAUGGCUGCUAAAUACGCAAUAGAUCAUCUUGAUAAUAUCAGUGACAAAUAUCAAGUGCUUUGCCGUCAGUGACUUCAUUUGGAAGCAGUGAAUUUGAACGACAUCCUAGAGUUUGGGAAAGUUUGGACGCCUCUGGUAUAGUAGCAUUAUCCACCCUCAAUGUAGUUUUCUUGUAUCCACUUGUUUACGGAGGUUUCUUCAAUGUUAUUUAUCCUCCUUGGACUGCACCCGAGCCCACUCCAGCAGAGAUGCUUACAACUGUUGAAUUCACCAAAUUUUGUUACGAAAAUAAUAAACUGUCUGAGGAUUGUGUUUGAUCACGAAUGGUUGCAGUUUCAUUAUAGCGUUGAUUACAAUUACCUUUUAUCAUCAAACAAGUUCAAUUGUGAUUACAAUUUAAAUUUCGUUAAGUGUUGGUUAUACAAUUGUAUAAUUUAAGAUUGAAUGGGAGGCCGCAAUCUAGUUAACUGGACCAUUAACGAACCAGUAAGGUUCUUUUUCCGGAUACCGAUCAUCCUAGGUCGUAGCUUUUCUCCCAUCCAUGAGAUUCUAUCAACCAAAAAUGAUCUUUAAGAAUGAAAUCAUGAAAUAAUGCUGUCUAUAGUGGAAAGCUAUUUCGAAAUAUUUCGAGGAUCGAAAAGUGGAAAUUCUGACUGCAAUGUCCUUAUUACCAACAAUUACUGCAUUCACGAGGUUAAUGUCACAAUAUUAUGAUUACAAGGCUCAUAAUGUACAUUUCCAAAUAAAACUGGAAUAAGAAAACUUUUAGACACUUUCGAAUUCAGUAAAAUUUAAUUUCUAAUCUAAAUAUUCCCAUGUAGCGCUAAGAUCCGGCAUCAAUUACCCGUUUAUUAAGAGGACUCCACACGUGGCUGGCGAAGGACUUCUGGAAGAGGAUGUGGUGAUUCGCACGUUUCCAAGUGAAGCAAAUGUGUAUCAUGAAAACACCGAAUUUACUAAGAAAAUGACCUCGGAACUGGAAAGCUCUUGUGGUUCAUCGAAAUCAUCAUUUGAUAAGACAGACGUCGUUAUGUUAACAUUGAUAGAGAAGGAUAUUGAUAAUGUUACUUCCAACAUUAUCAAAUCUAUUAAAGUCGAUCCUCUUUCAGUUGAUUUUUAUCCUCACAAACUGACCAUGGAACAGUUCAAAGAUCAUAUGGAAUACAGAAUACCCAAUAAAAACAGUGAAUAUUGUAGAUCUAUCUGCGAUAAUCUUACCAGAGAUAUCCAGGUAGAUCCUGUGGAUUACAGUUAUUUUCAUAGAUGGUGUACUUAAA